CUACCGUACGUACCCGUUACCGUCGUCGUACCGUUCGUACCGUACCCGUACCGUACGUACGGUANGGGGUUGGAAAGUUUCCUGUGUAGCGGUGAAAUGCGUAGAUAUAGGAAGGAACACCAGUGGCGAAGGCGACCACCUGGGCUCAUACUGACACUNCGAGGUGCGAAAGCGUGGGAGCAAACAGGAUUAGAUACCCUGGUAGUCCACGCCGUAAACGAUGUCAACUAGCCGUUGGAAUCCUUGAGAUUUUAGUGGCGCAGCUAACGCAUUAAGUUGACCGCCUGGGGAGUACGGCCGCGUCGACGACGGGGGCCCGCACAAGCGGUGGAGCAUGUGGUUUAAUUCGAAGCAACGCGAAGAACCUUACCAGGUCUUGACAUCUAGUGCCAUCCUAAGAGAUUAGGAGUUCCCUUCGGGGACGCUAAGACAGGUGGUGCAUGGNCUGUCGUCAGCUCGUGUCGUGAGAUGUUGGGUUAAGUCCCGCAACGAGCGCAACCCUUGUUAUUAGUUGCCAGCAUU
This 522-nucleotide ribosomal RNA is filed under the name uncultured Pseudomonas sp. Its description in RNAcentral is "bacterial SSU rRNA". It matches the Rfam family "Bacterial small subunit ribosomal RNA", at positions 587 to 1125 of the family's 1533-position model. Lineage: Bacteria; Pseudomonadati; Pseudomonadota; Gammaproteobacteria; Pseudomonadales; Pseudomonadaceae. The record is from RNAcentral.